GCUGUGAUGGAUAAGUAUGGUAACGCUGUCCGUGUCAUUAAUUGUUGUCUUCCCUGAUGGGGGAGACGUUCAGAUUUUUGCCAGGAGAAAAAAGGAGGUGAAUGGGACUUCAUGCUUCUCAGUCUCCAGAUAGGUGUUUAUUAAUUCUUAUCUAAGGAGUACAAGCCACUGGCAUGGCUUAUACAUAGCACAGAGCAGAGAAUGCAGCAAGAAGACAACUUAUCAAGAUUUCACAGCCUUUUUAAAGGUAAAUUACCC
Molecule: long non-coding RNA, 258 nt
Organism: Corvus hawaiiensis (hawaiian crow)
Lineage: Eukaryota; Metazoa; Chordata; Aves; Passeriformes; Corvidae
Exons: 3
Source: RefSeq, a predicted model, not a curated record